Molecule: ribosomal RNA, 253 nt
Filed under: uncultured bacterium
Lineage: Bacteria
Description: partial 16S ribosomal RNA
Rfam family: Bacterial small subunit ribosomal RNA
Source: RNAcentral
UACGAAGGGGGCUAGCGUUGCUCGGAAUCACUGGGCGUAAAGCGCACGUAGGUGGCUCGCUAAGUCAGGGGUGAAAUCCUGGAGCUCAACUCCAGAACUGCCUUUGAUACUGGCAAUCUCGAGUCCGGGAGAGGUGAGUGGAACUGCGAGUGUAGAGGUGAAAUUCGUAGAUAUUCGCAAGAACACCAGUGGCGAAGGCGGCUCACUGGCCCGGUACUGACGCUGAGGUGCGAAAGCGUGGGGAGCAAACAGG